GAUGAACGCUGGCGGCGUGCCUAAUACAUGCCAGUCGAGCGAACAGACGAGGAGCUUGCUCCUCUGACGUUAGCGGCGGACGGGUGAGUAACACGUGGAUAACCUACCUAUAAGACUGGGAUAACUUCGGGAAACCGGAGCUAAUACCGGAUAAUAUAUUGAACCGCAUGGUUCAAUAGUGAAAGACGGUUUUGCUGUCACUUAUAGAUGGAUCCGCGCCGCAUUAGCUAGUUGGUAAGGUAACGGCUUACCAAGGCGACGAUGCGUAGCCGACCUGAGAGGGUGAUAGGCCACACUGGAACUGAGACACGGUCAAGACUCCUACGGGAGGCAGCAGUAGGGAAUCUUCCGCAAUGGGCGAAAGCCUGACGGAGCAACGCCGCGUGAGUGAUGAAGGUCUUCGGAUCGUAAAACUCUGUUAUUAGGGAAGAACAAAUGUGUAAGUAACUAUGCACGUCUUGACGGUACCUAAUCAGAAAGCCACGGCUAACUACGUG
RNAcentral lists this ribosomal RNA (497 nucleotides) under uncultured bacterium. RNAcentral describes it as "partial 16S ribosomal RNA". It matches the Rfam family "Bacterial small subunit ribosomal RNA", at positions 28 to 507 of the family's 1533-position model. The record is from RNAcentral.